RNAcentral lists this long non-coding RNA (1016 nucleotides) under Chinchilla lanigera (long-tailed chinchilla). Its description in RNAcentral is "lncRNA (ENSCLAG00000028142.1)". The record is from RNAcentral. Lineage: Eukaryota; Metazoa; Chordata; Mammalia; Rodentia; Chinchillidae.
UCCUUGGGGACCCAGAGAAAUGUCAGCUGUGGAUUGGACAGAUUCUGAUGUCUUCCAUGCCACACCUUGACCAGUCUUCAGCACUGAGCACAGGACGACUCAGCUCCCAGUUGGUGUUGUCAGCAACUCAUUGUGAGACCUCUGGCAGCCAGCCAGCUGCACGGGGAUGGAAGGCAAGGACUCUUCACCCCAGCACUGCCCUGGGGAGAAUCAGGCAGGGCCCCGUGGGUGCUGCUCUGUGCUCUCUCCUCCAUGUGGCUCUGUCUUUCUUUAGCUCUCCCUUACCUUGUCCAGAUAAAGGCACAGAGAAUGGAAAGCCAAGUUCCCCACCUAUGAAGACCAUUGAAGGAAGAUCCCAAGCCCGGGGAGAUCCCCUGGAAACCGUCUCGUCUGACCGUGUUGGGAGUGACUUAGUAGGAAGUGGACCUCCCUCAUGGAGAGAGGAGGUGGCCAUCCUCUGUGUCCUCCCAGAGCUGACCAUCUGCGGCAUCCUUUUAUCCUGCUGCUUGAGGAAGAAUUACCCUUUGGCAUUGAUGAUGAGCAUGAAGAAGAGCAGAUAAUGCAAUUACAGACAUGACUUUAUCUCAAUUUAGGACAGCAAAUAUUUAGGAUUAGGAUUAAGACUCCGGGAGAGACAGCCUUCAGAUCAUUCUGCAGAGGAAAUACUUGGGAUGGUUGUUUGCAUUUUGUUUGGGCUGCCUCUGGUAGGUCAACAUGUGGUCGACCCUGCUGGGUGUCUGGGAUAGAACAAGAUAGGAUCCUACAAUUUAAAGAACACAUUCGAGUAUUUCACCCCUAUGUGCUUUGGACAAAAUGCAAAAUAAACAAUAAAUGGACUCACAAAAUGUUUACAAAGCUGAAUAAAGCCUACCAAAGUCAAGCUCUCUUUCUGGUAGAGAUUACUGUUAUCUGCAGCCAGAAGAGUAGUGCCUUGAUGGUGUCUGAGUUCUAUCAAAUGGCACUGAGACAGCCUGAGUUUUGGAACCAACACUGAACUAUCAUAUUAAAGAAUCUGG